CCUGGCCUUGACAUACUAAGAACUUUCCAGAGAUGGAUUGGUGCCUUCGGGAACGUUAGAUACAGGUGCUGCAUGGCUGUCGUCAGCUCGUGUCGUGAGAUGUUGGGUUAAGUCCCGCAACGAGCGCAACCCUUUUCCUUAUUUGCCAGCGGGUUAAGCCGGGAACUUUAAGGAUACUGCCAGUGACAAACUGGAGGAAGGCGGGGACGACGUCAAGUCAUCAUGGCCCUUACGGCCAGGGCUACACACGUGCUACAAUGGUCGGUACAAAGGGUUGCUACCUCGCGAGAGGAUGCUAAUCUCAAAAAGCCGAUCGUAGUCCGGAUCGCAGUCUGCAACUCGACUGCGUGAAGUCGGAAUCGCUAGUAAUCGCGGAUCAGAAUGCCGCGGUGAAUACGUUCCCGGGCCUUGUACACACCGCCCGUCACACCAUGGGAGUUUGUUGCACCAGAAGUAGGUAGUCUAACCGCAAGGAGGACGCUUACCACGGUGUGGCCGAUGACUGGGGUGAAGUCGUAACAAGGUAAGCGUAGAUGA
Molecule: ribosomal RNA, 537 nt
Filed under: uncultured bacterium
Lineage: Bacteria
Description: bacterial SSU rRNA
Rfam family: Bacterial small subunit ribosomal RNA
Source: RNAcentral